RNAcentral lists this long non-coding RNA (323 nucleotides) under Elaeis guineensis (African oil palm). RNAcentral's name for it is "long non-coding RNA (EGUI_LNC063014)". Lineage: Eukaryota; Viridiplantae; Streptophyta; Magnoliopsida; Arecales; Arecaceae. The record is from RNAcentral.
GGUGUUCGACGCAAAGACCAGACGAAGUUCGGUCCUGACUACGGGUCCAUCUAUGGCACAAGGAUUUUGGGAAACUGGGGCUGACGAACUCCUAGAGCCGCUAGAAGAGGAGAUAUCGGAAGAUAUUUUGGAUCAAAUAGAAGCCACAAAAAUCUCAAAAAAAAUCAAGAAAAACAGUAAACAAGCUCUCAAGGAAGCUAAAUGAACAGAAUACGAAGAAGAAAGAACAGAAAAAUAGCAAGAAGUUUCAGAACUAACCUAGGUUGGCCCGACGCGUGCAGGAAGAUGGCAAGGAUGAUGGAAGUCGACCUGGAGGAUGCCUA